AGUGAACGCUGGCGGUAGGCCUAACACAUGCAAGUCGAACGGCAACACAGUAAGAGUUUGCUCUUACGGGUGGCGAGUGGCGGAUGGGUGAGUAAUACAGCGGAAUCUACUUUUUCGUGGGGGAUAACGUAGGGAAACUUACGCUAAUACCGCAAACGACCAACUGGUGAAAGCAGGGGAUCGUCGGACCUUGCGCGAUUGAAUGAUCCGAUGUCGGAUUACCUAGUUGGCGGGGUAAAGGCCCACCAAGGCGACGAUCCAUAGCUGGUCUGAGAGGAUGAUCAGCCACACUGGAACUGAGACAGGGUCCAGACUCCUACGGGAGGCAGCAGUGGGGAAUAUUCGACAAUGGGCGCAAGCCUGAUGCAGCCAUACCGCGUGGAUGAAGAAGGCCUUCGGGUUGUAAAGCCCUUUUGUUGGGAAGGAAAAGAAGCAAGUUAAUACCCAGAUGUUUUGACGGUACCAACAGAAUAAGCACCGGCUAACUCCGUG
This 492-nucleotide ribosomal RNA is filed under the name uncultured bacterium. Its description in RNAcentral is "partial 16S ribosomal RNA". It matches the Rfam family "Bacterial small subunit ribosomal RNA", at positions 29 to 507 of the family's 1533-position model. The record is from RNAcentral.